Molecule: ribosomal RNA, 253 nt
Filed under: uncultured bacterium
Lineage: Bacteria
Description: partial 16S ribosomal RNA
Rfam family: Bacterial small subunit ribosomal RNA
Source: RNAcentral
UACGUAGGUGGCAAGCGUUGUCCGGAAUUAUUGGGCGUAAAGCGCGCGCAGGCGGUCCUUUAAGUCUGAUGUGAAAGCCCACGGCUCAACCGUGGAGGGUCAUUGGAAACUGGGGGACUUGAGUGCAGGAGAGAAGAGUGGAAUUCCACGUGUAGCGGUGAAAUGCGUAGAGAUGUGGAGGAACACCAGUGGCGAAGGCGACUCUUUGGCCUGUAACUGACGCUGAGGCCCGAAAGCGUGGGUAGCAAACAGG